This is a long non-coding RNA of Branchiostoma floridae (Florida lancelet), 930 nucleotides long. RefSeq lists it as uncharacterized. Lineage: Eukaryota; Metazoa; Chordata; Leptocardii; Amphioxiformes; Branchiostomatidae. The record is from RefSeq and is a predicted model, not a curated record. The transcript has 2 exons.
AGAGAUGGGGGAAGGCAUCACGCCUUCGUCAGUUGACCCCCAUCAACCACUGCAGACAGCCUUGAUGACUUGGACUACAGUGAUGAAGACACUGCAAGAGUGUCUUGGUAUUUCCUUUCUCGUGUCAAGCCGCGCUGUUCAAUGGUGGCUGCCUCCAAUUCUUCAUCAUCAUCACUGUCUUCACUCUCUACUGGAGAUGGAUGGGAAGUGGCUGAUGCAGGAGUGAGGGAGCCACUAGCUGGGCAGCAAUAUGGACAGUCUCCAUAAUCCAGCACCGGCAUGUUCUCAGGGGUAUGGAUGCCAGACUGACUAAGAGUUGGCACAGUCAGUGGGACUUUUGUGAUGUGCUCCCAUUCCCAUAUGCAUAUUGCAGUUGUUACGGCACUGCAGGAGAACUUCCGUGUUUGAUAUCUUAACUUCUGGACAUGCUAUAUGGCUAUCCUUUUCAAAUAGUGUAUUUGGUAUAUCUUAUAAGUAAUUGGUGAAGUGUUGAUCCCCUAGUGGCUUCUUUUGGAACUACAGGGGCCAAUUUAGUGUUGAUAGCUUACAUUAUAUAUGUUAUAUCAGGAAAAUGUGACUUGCUCAAUAUUACUGUCCCAUUGAGGUAGCCAGAGAAAUAUGGAUUUCUUUUGUCAGGAAUAGCCUUCUUGACACAGUACAAACUGACAAUGUUGCAGCACAAAAAUUAACAUUCCUGUGCAAGUGGGUCAAGUCUGUAUGUAUAUUUUGUAUACUGAAACAUAGAGGGUUUGUCUUGUAAAUAUGUUUCUUGUACAUUGCAACAUACAGUAUUACAGGUGUAACAUCUUACUUGAGCUUUCCGUACAGUAUAUAGAUUUUGAUACAAAUACAGUUGAAAGCAACCAAUUCAUAUUGUACUGUUGAACAACCGUUAAACAUAUACUGUGUUACCGUCAAUCACAAUAUUUA